This 620-nucleotide ribosomal RNA is filed under the name Staphylococcus aureus. Its description in RNAcentral is "partial 23S ribosomal RNA". It matches the Rfam family "Bacterial large subunit ribosomal RNA", at positions 252 to 871 of the family's 2925-position model. The record is from RNAcentral. Lineage: Bacteria; Bacillati; Bacillota; Bacilli; Caryophanales; Staphylococcaceae.
AGCGAAACGGGAAGAGCCCAAACCAACAAGCUUGCUUGUUGGGGUUGUAGGACACUCUAUACGGAGUUACAAAGGACGACAUUAGACGAAUCAUCUGGAAAGAUGAAUCAAAGAAGGUAAUAAUCCUGUAGUCGAAAAUGUUGUCUCUCUUGAGUGGAUCCUGAGUACGACGGAGCACGUGAAAUUCCGUCGGAAUCUGGGAGGACCAUCUCCUAAGGCUAAAUACUCUCUAGUGACCGAUAGUGAACCAGUACCGUGAGGGAAAGGUGAAAAGCACCCCGGAAGGGGAGUGAAAUAGAACCUGAAACCGUGUGCUUACAAGUAGUCAGAGCCCGUUAAUGGGUGAUGGCGUGCCUUUUGUAGAAUGAACCGGCGAGUUACGAUUUGAUGCAAGGUUAAGCAGUAAAUGUGGAGCCGUAGCGAAAGCGAGUCUGAAUAGGGCGUUUAGUAUUUGGUCGUAGACCCGAAACCAGGUGAUCUACCCUUGGUCAGGUUGAAGUUCAGGUAACACUGAAUGGAGGACCGAACCGACUUACGUUGAAAAGUGAGCGGAUGAACUGAGGGUAGCGGAGAAAUUCCAAUCGAACCUGGAGAUAGCUGGUUCUCUCCGAAAUAGCUUU